GAUCUGGUUCAGGAUGAACGCUAGCGACAGGCCUAACACAUGCAAGUCGAGGGGCAGCGGGAUGAAGCUUGCUUAAUGCCGGCGACCGGCGCACGGGUGCGUAACAGGUGUGCAAUCUGUCCAUAUCGGGGGAUAGCCCAGCGAAAGCUGAAUUAACACUCCAUGUGAAUCGAAGCCGCAUGACUUUGAUUUGAAACGCAAGGACUAUGGGUGAGCACGCUUCUGAUUAGGUAGUUGGUGGGGUAACGGCCCACCAAGCCAACGAUCAGUAGGGGUUCUGAGAGGAAGGUCCCCCCACAUUGGAACUGAGACACGGUCCAAACUCCUACGGGAGGCAGCAGUGAGGAAUAUUGGUCAAUGGGCGAGAGCCUGAACCAGCCAAGUCGCGUAGAAGGAUGAAGGUUCUAUGGAUUGUAAACUUCUUUUGUCCGAGGGUAAAGAAGGCUACGUGUAGCUUCUUGCAAGUAUCGGACGAAUAAGCAUCGGCUAACUCCGUGCCAGCCGCCGC
RNAcentral lists this ribosomal RNA (508 nucleotides) under uncultured bacterium. Its description in RNAcentral is "bacterial SSU rRNA". It matches the Rfam family "Bacterial small subunit ribosomal RNA", at positions 15 to 518 of the family's 1533-position model. The record is from RNAcentral.